GGCGAUCCCGCGGCCCCGUGGAUGGAUAAGAAAGGUUCCGUCACCCCCUGGAGGAAUCCGUGACCGCCCACAUCCAUCUCCCCCUCUUCCCCCCAUCUCCACCUCUCCCUCUCUGUCGUUCUGGAGGAAGGGCCGACGCGCCCUCCGCCGUCCACCACGCGCCACCGCGGCCAUCGACCUCCCCUCGACACUCCGCCCUGACCAGGAGCUCCGGGACGCUCCUCCGCUUCUUCUUCGCCAACUAGCACAAGCCGGGACGCCACAUCGACGCCGCCCUCGCCAAUCCCCUCCGCUGGCGUCCGCCUCUGCCUCACCGUCGAUCCGCCGCCAUCCGCCGCUCGGUUUGCCCAUCGUCGACAAGCUCCGGCCAACCCGACCCCUCCACGAUCUUUGGUGUGAGCUCCCGCAUCCGUUCCCCCUAUUUUUUUACCCUCAAAUUCGGCGCUGUUUGGCCGUCCCUUGCAUUCCCCGCCAUGGAAGGGAGCUCGGCUCCACGCGCCCGUGUGCCCCCUGACCACCCCUGCUCCUGCGUGACCCGUGCUUCGGCUCCACUCAGCGCGCACGCGUGCCUAGCCGUGAUGCCCCCGCUUGCUAUUGCUCUCUUGCGUUGGCUGCCGCUGAUGCUCUUCCGCUGCUACUGCUUUGAACUGCCGCUAUGCUGUUGCUACUGCUGCUUAUUGCUGCUGUAUCUGCUAGUUGCCGCCGCUGCUGCUCCGUGCUUAUGCUGCUGCUUGGUUGCUUCUGCUACUGCAGCCUGCUACCUCCGGCUGCGGCUGCUACUGGCCAUGGCCGUGGUGUGUGUGAGUGUGCUGUGUGUGUAUGCAGCGUGGUGUGUGUGAAUGUGCUGUGUGAGUGCAUGUGUGUGUGAGUGGGUGUGGUGCCGGCCCAAACUAGUUUAGGUCUAGAUUAGUUCUAGGAUUAAUUCUGCUAUUUAGAUAGUAUCAGUUUAGUGCUGAUUAGCCUAAUAGCUUAUGACCCGUGGCCCUCUGUUUUAAAUUAGUUUAGUUAAUUCUCUUUUUGCACAUGGGCAAAUGACAAAUGAGCCCCACUUUGACCCUGUUGACUUGUCAACCCUGAUUGGUCAACUAUUGACUUUGACCCUGGCCCCACUGUCAUACACAUGGCUAGCCCCCUAGUAGGUGUAAAAAGGAUUCUGCCUAUUUAGUAAUUAAACGAAUUAGAUAAAUAAAAGGAAUGUAGAAAAUGCUUAAAACUUUGGAAAAUCAUAGAAAUUAAACCGUAGCUCGAAUCGAAAAACUUUCCACAUCAAAGUUGCUUAGAACAACGAGACAAAUCCGAAUACACAGUCCGUCCGUCUGCCGCACGCCCUUAGCAUAGGAAACCUGCAACCGUCCCCAUCGGUUCGUUUGUCCGAAAAUGCCAAACUUUGGGGAAACAUUCCCGGAUGCUCUCCCCUUUGCCGGUAUCGUGUAGCACCGCGUUAGAACACGCCUAACACCGCGUAUCGUCAUGUCAUGCUUAGUGCUGCAACUGUAUGCUUGUAUUUACUGUUUCUUCCCCCUCUUCUCUCCGGUAGACCCCGAGAUUGCCGCUGAUGCCGCUGUGAUCGACUACGUCGACGACGACCCCUUCUUCUUGUCUGAGCAACCAGGCAAGCCCCCCCUUUGAUCAUCCCUAUAUCACCCAUUCCACUCUCUCAUGCUUGUAUUAGAUUUUGUACUGUUAUUUGAUUGCUCCUAUUCUGAUGCAUAGCCUGCUUUUGUAGUUGUUGUUGUACCUUACCUGCUUAUCCUAAACUGCUUAGUAUAGGUUGGUUCAUGAUUCAUCAGUGACCCCCACUUGUCCUUGUUGCCCCUACUUCAUCAUCGACGACUCGAUCUACGUGAUCGAAGAACAGAGCCCGACACCUCACAUCACAUCACGCCCCUUUUGUUGCUCGACUCUAUAGAGCUACUAUCGAGUGCCGAGGGUGAUCCCUCAUAACGCACUCCUGAUGUUAAUUCUGUAGUGUAGCUAUUCAGUCGUGGUCAUCGAGGGUCAUUUCCUCUUUCACCAUUCCCUAUACGGCUCUGUCGUUCAACACCUCAAGUGUGAACCUCGAGGGUGGUCCCUCUUACGUUCACCUUGAUGAUUACAUUGAGUGGAAUCAUCUGGGGGUGAUUCCUCGGGUUUUCCCCUUAAUGUUUGGACACACGGUUACCUUUACAUUACUUGACACCUUUGGGAAAGUCGGGCGGGCCCGGAGAGCACCCGCAAGAUGGUUACAACGCACGGCCGGGAAGUCAGGCAGCCCUCAAGUGGGCUGGGCUUGCCCUUGUCGUAUUUCCUCGAGACGGGGCGACGGGGUCACAUUAUCGUGAGUCUCUGCUCGUCUCCGCGAGCCCCCAAUGCACUAACAGGUUCGGGUAUUUGUUCCUAGUUGGCCUUUACGCACUAACCACCACGCGAGAAUAGAUAUGGGCCUCGACGUCGUGGUAUCAGCCGAAGCUUUGUCAGAUGUCCAGUUCAGCAUUGUGGCACGGUCGGAUCAUGCCAUCCACUACACGGGUGGUGCUGGUAUCCACCCUGCACACAACGACCCGGAGUGCAACGGGCGAUGGGCCCAAACCCCGGAGUGCUUAGGAUGUAGAAGGCGGGGACCUCUCUGCUGAACCUAGGUAGGGCUACGACGUGUUGAUCUUCCAAGGCCGGGCAUUGACCCCAGAAAGGUGUGUCCGGCCAGAGUGAUCGAGCGUGUUGGGUAACGUGGUGCACCCCUGCAGGGAAGAUAUAUAUAUUCGAAUACCGUGUCCACGGUAAUGGACGUUCAGACUUGUAUCCUGAUCUUAUACAACUAGAAAUGGAUACUUGAUAUGUGAUGGAUAUGUGGCCCUGAGAUUGCUUUCUCGUAGGGAGGCGAGGAAGGACCUCUGGGCGUUGAUACUACAACAUGUUUGUUAAUAUAAACUGCUAUUCUUUACUCUUCUACAUGUUGCAAGAUGCUUGGAGCUGCUUGAAGAUGCAAGUCUUCGAUAGGCUAGGCCUUCCCCUCUAUUCUGGCAUUCUGCAGUUCAAUCCACAGAUAUAGCCCUUCCAUUUGAUACCAAUGCAUACUUAGCAUAGAUCUGAUGCUUGCGAGUACUUUGGAUGAGUACUCACGGUUGCUUUGCUACCCCUUUUCCCCCUUCCUUCUUUCCGGUUGAUGCAACCAGAUGGUGUACCCCUGGAGCCAGAAGCCACCGUUGACGGAUACUACUACGUGGAGACCGCCGACGACCAAGAGUAGUUAGGAGGUCUCAGGCAGGAGGCCUUGCCUCUUCGAUCGUUGAUGUUUGUGCUAGCCUUUUAAGGCAUCCUUGUCUAACUUAUGUCUGUACUCAGAUAUUGUUGCUUCCGCUGACUCUUGUGUAUCGAGCUUGUAUUCGAGCCCUCGAGGCCCUGGCUUGUAAUAUGAAGCUUGUAUUACUUUGAUUUGUGUCUAGAGUUGUAUUGUGAUAUCUUUCCCUGAGUCCCUGAUCUUGAUCGUACACAUUUGCGUGUAUGAUUAGUGUACGGUCGAAUCGGGAGCGUCAGAAGUUGGUAUUAGAGCCGACUGCCUG
RNAcentral lists this long non-coding RNA (3539 nucleotides) under Triticum aestivum (bread wheat). RNAcentral describes it as "long non-coding RNA (TAES_LNC004486)". Lineage: Eukaryota; Viridiplantae; Streptophyta; Magnoliopsida; Poales; Poaceae. The record is from RNAcentral.